GACGAACGCUGGCGGCGUGCUUAACACAUGCAAGUCGAACGCUGAAGACCUGGCUUUUGUUGGGUUGGAUGAGUGGCGAACGGGUGAGUAACACGUGAGUAACCUGCCCUCUUCUUUGGGAUAACGCCCGGAAACGGGUGCUAAUACUGGAUAUUCACUGAUCUUCGCAUGGGGGUUGGUGGAAAGGUUUGUUCUGGUGGGGGAUGGGCUCGCGGCCUAUCAGCUUGUUGGUGGGGUGAUGGCCUACCAAGGCUUUGACGGGUAGCCGGCCUGAGAGGGUGACCGGUCACAUUGGGACUGAGAUACGGCCCAGACUCCUACGGGAGGCGGCAGUGGGGAAUAUUGCACAAUGGGCGAAAGCCUGAUGCAGCGACGCCGCGUGAGGGAUGGGGGCCUUCGGGUUGUAAACCUCUUUCGCGCAUGGUCAAGCCGCAACUGUGGGUUGUGGUGAGGGUAGUGGGUAAAGAAGCGCCGGCUAACUACGUG
RNAcentral lists this ribosomal RNA (486 nucleotides) under uncultured bacterium. Its description in RNAcentral is "partial 16S ribosomal RNA". It matches the Rfam family "Bacterial small subunit ribosomal RNA", at positions 28 to 507 of the family's 1533-position model. The record is from RNAcentral.